RNAcentral lists this ribosomal RNA (174 nucleotides) under uncultured bacterium. RNAcentral's name for it is "partial 16S ribosomal RNA". It matches the Rfam family "Bacterial small subunit ribosomal RNA", at positions 338 to 504 of the family's 1533-position model. The record is from RNAcentral.
CCUACGGGAGGCAGCAGUAGGGAAUCUUCCGCAAUGGACGAAAGUCUGACGGAGCAAUGCCGCGUGAGUGAAGAAGGUUUUCGGAUCGUAAAACUCUGUUGUUAGAGAAGAACAAGGAUGAGAGUAACUGCUCAUCCCCUGACGGUAUCUAACCAGAAAGCCACGGCUAACUAC